Jatropha curcas is the source of this 73-nucleotide non-coding RNA. The record is from Rfam. NCBI's taxonomy places the organism in Eukaryota, Viridiplantae, Streptophyta, Magnoliopsida, Malpighiales, Euphorbiaceae.
GCGGGGAUAGCUCAAUUGGGAGAGCGUCAGAUUGAAAAUUUGAAGGCCGUGUGUUCGAUCCACGCUCAUCGCU